Molecule: ribosomal RNA, 253 nt
Filed under: uncultured bacterium
Lineage: Bacteria
Description: partial 16S ribosomal RNA
Rfam family: Bacterial small subunit ribosomal RNA
Source: RNAcentral
UACAGAGGGGGCAAGCGUUGUUCGGAAUUACUGGGCGUAAAGGGCGCGUAGGCGGCCUGUUAAGUCGAACGUGAAAUCCCCGGGCUCAACCCGGGAACUGCGUCCGAUACUGGCAGGCUUGAAUCCGGGAGAGGGAUGCGGAAUUCCAGGUGUAGCGGUGAAAUGCGUAGAUAUCUGGAGGAACACCGGUGGUGAAGGCGGCAUCCUGGACCGGCAUUGACGCUGAGGAGCGAAAGCCAGGGGAGCAAACGGG